AGAAUUUUACAGGGAAUGCGUUCCGGCUUUUCUCUGCCCUCUAUUGGGUUGCACACUAUGACAGGAAAGAACAAGCCGCUAUAUGCAGGAAGCCUGGGGAACUCAGCACAGAGGAAACGUUGGGACUGGCGAUGCAGAAAUCCCACACGGGCCUCGUUCAUCGCAAGGCAACUGUAUCAGUGGACUCCAACUUGUGGAGCACACAAUGAAGCACAGACAUCAGGAGGUGGACUUAGGUCAUGAAGCUGCUGAUGUCCAGUGGGCAGGCAAAUGCUAUUGGAUGAGAGGUAACAGGGCGGAACGUAGCGAGAUGGUCAGAGAUCCCCUCUCAAAGACACCACGUGUCGGCAGAGAGAGAUGAGGAAGCUGAACACACACAUCAAUUUACAUGGUUUACUUCUGCAUUAUUCUUUUUUUCGUAAAUUGUUUCACAGUCGCACAUUUAUCAAAGUCCAUCCGUACUUCCAGUUUAAAAAACAUUUUGAAAUGUAGAAACAUGUCUUUGUUUACAAUAAUACCACAUCACCCCCCCAUCUUGCAAUUCCACUGGCUCCUGGUGGAACUAACAAUCUUGAAUAAACUCUUCCUGUAUACCUUCAAGGCGGUUCACAACCUCGCCCUUCCAUGUCUGUCUGACCUCCUCCCAUUUUUUAUAAACAUCUCUAAAAUGAAG
Long non-coding RNA from Syngnathus acus (greater pipefish), 673 nucleotides. RefSeq lists it as uncharacterized. The transcript has 3 exons. The record is from RefSeq and is a predicted model, not a curated record. NCBI's taxonomy places the organism in Eukaryota, Metazoa, Chordata, Actinopteri, Syngnathiformes, Syngnathidae.